This 497-nucleotide ribosomal RNA is filed under the name uncultured bacterium. Its description in RNAcentral is "partial 16S ribosomal RNA". It matches the Rfam family "Bacterial small subunit ribosomal RNA", at positions 28 to 507 of the family's 1533-position model. The record is from RNAcentral.
GAUGAACGCUGGCGGCGUGCCUAAUACAUGCAAGUCGAGCGAACAGAUGAGGAGCUUGCUCCUCUGACGUUAGCGGCGGACGGGUGAGUAACACGUGGAUAACCUACCUAUAAGACUGGGAUAACUUCGGGAAACCGGAGCUAAUACCGGAUAAUAUAUUGAACCGCAUGGUUCAAUAGUGAAAGACGGUUUUGCUGUCACUUAUAGAUGGAUCCGCGCCGCAUUAGCUAGUUGGUAAGGUAACGGCUUACCACGGCAACGAUGCGUAGCCGACCUGAGAGGGUGAUCGGCCACACUGGAACUGAGACACGGUCCAGACUCCUACGGGAGGCAGCAGUAGGGAAUCUUCCGCAAUGGGCGAAAGCCUGACGGAGCAACGCCGCGUGAGUGAUGAAGGUCUUCGGAUCGUAAAACUCUGUUAUUAGGGAAGAACAAAUGUGUAAGUAACUAUGCACGUCUUGACGGUACCUAAUCAGAAAGCCACGGCUAACUACGUG